This 461-nucleotide ribosomal RNA is filed under the name uncultured bacterium. RNAcentral describes it as "partial 16S ribosomal RNA". It matches the Rfam family "Bacterial small subunit ribosomal RNA", at positions 28 to 477 of the family's 1533-position model. The record is from RNAcentral.
GACGAACGCUGGCGGCGUGCUUAACACAUGCAAGUCGAGCGGACUUUAUCCUUCGGGGUAAGGUUAGCGGCGGACGGGUGAGUAACACGUAGGCAACCUGCCCAUGAGACUGGGAUAACUACCGGAAACGGUAGCUAAGACCGGAUAUGCAAUUUUCUCGCAUGAGAGAAUUGGGAAAAGCGGAGCAAUCUGCUGCUCACGGAUGGGCCUGCGGCGCAUUAGCUAGNGGUGAGGUAAUGGCUCACCAAGGCGACGAUGCGUAGCCGACCUGAGAGGGUGAUCGGCCACACUGGGACUGAGACACGGCCCAGACUCCUACGGGAGGCAGCAGUAGGGAAUCUUCCGCAAUGGACGCAAGUCUGACGGAGCAACGCCGCGUGAGUGAUGAAGGUUUUCGGAUCGUAAAGCUCUGUUGCCAGGGAAGAACGGCCAGGAGAGUAACUGCUCUUGGUUUGACGGUA